Molecule: long non-coding RNA, 3227 nt
Organism: Pongo pygmaeus (Bornean orangutan)
Lineage: Eukaryota; Metazoa; Chordata; Mammalia; Primates; Hominidae
Exons: 3
Source: RefSeq, a predicted model, not a curated record
AUUCUUUUGCUCACUGCUCGGUGACUUUGCAUGUCAUGUGUUUGCUCAUAAGUAAGUAGACAGUUGGUGGACUGAGUCACACAACACAGGCAACAACAGGAUCUGUAAGUGUGGGAACGCCAGCAACUGUGGCAUGAGCUGGAUUUGGCAUCAGUGAGAUGAGGAACAAGCAGGCUCUACUGCAAACACCACACAGAGAGGAGAAGUCUCACUGAAGACAAGGAUGACAGGAUUCAACUGGAUUUCAAACAGCUUAUGUCAGGUCUAAAAAUGGCUGUCAAGACUGCCACUCCAUGAAGUCUAUGCCAGGAACCCUCACGGUGCUCCCAUUCUUGGGCUGGGGGCUGGCCAUACAGUGUCGUGUGUUCACCUUGCGAAAAUGUGUCACGAACUUUAUGAUUUGACUUGAUUACAUUUCUGCAUAUGUUAUAUAUGAAAGUGUAUCUUAAAAAAUACAAGGUGGCCAGGCACGGUGGCUCACACCUAUAAUCCCAGCACUUUGGGAGGUCAAGGUGAGAAGAUUGCUUGAGCAUAGGAGUUCAAGACCAGCCUGGGCAACAUAAUGAGAACCCUAUCUCUACAAAAGAAAAAAAUCAGCUGGAUGUGGUGGCAUGUAGCUGUAGUCUCAGCUACUCAGGAGGCAGGAGGAUUGCUUGAGCCCAGUUCAAGACUGCAGUGAACUAUGAUCAUGCCACUGCACUUCAGCCUGGAUGACAGAGCAAGACCCUGUCUUAAAAAUAAAUAAAUAAAUGGCAUUGCCCACUUUAUGGGGAGUGGAUUGGAGGUUCCUGAUGGAAGAAAGAUUAAAAAGCACACAGGAGGAUUUCAAGAGGAAGCGAGCUGGGCUUGAAAAGUCACCAGUUGCAGUGGCUCACGCCUGUAAUCCCAGCACCUGGGAGGCCAAGGUGGCUGGAUUGCUUGAGCUCAGGAGUUUGUCACCAGCCUGGGCAACACGGUGAAACCCUCGUCUUGACAAAAAAUAUAAAAAAUUAGCCAGGCAUAGUGGUUAGCGCCUGUAGUCCCAGCUACUUGGGAGGCUGAGGUGGGAGGAUACCUUAAGUCCAGGAGGUUGAGGCUGCAGUAAGCUAUGAUUGUACCACUGCACUACAGCCUGGGCCACAGAGCAAGGCCCUGUCUGGAAAAAAAAAAAAAGUAGAAAAAGAAAGAGAGAAGCGAGAGAGAGAGAAAGAAAGAGAUAAGAAAGAAAGAAAAAAAGAAAGGAAGGAAGGAAGAAAAAAGGAAAGAAAGAAAGAAAGAAAGGAAGGAAAGAAAAAGAAAGAAAACCACCAGGACCAACAAGCUCUGGUGUGAGAACAGAGCUGCACCUGCCUCGUAGGCAAGUCUUUGUUUUUAACUCCCAAUCCCCUUCCUUGAUGAGCUGAGACAUGAGGCCCAGCAAAGAGAAAAAUGAAAAAGAAUGCAAACACAUCUGUCUCACCCACCUCAGCCCUCAAAUCCUAAAGCAGCCAGCAGGAGAGAGGAGAAGACGUCAAACUUCAUGAAGUUUGACAUUUUGAUUAUUAUGCUGACAUUUUAAUUACUGAACAGAGAUGGUUCCUAUGAUUGAAAGUAACUGGUGGUCUAUUACUUGAAGGCGAACAUGAAUGUGAACAGGAAAUCCCCCUAUUCCCUACCCCAAACUUAGAUUUUUCUUCAAGAGCCAUAAAGAAUUCACACAGCAGGUUGCGAAGAUUGUUUUCUGCUUGUACCAUGGAUCAGUUCACUAUUACAGCGUAACAAACUAAUCCUUCAUGGCUUAAAACAACCACCGUCUAGGUAUUAUUCCUCACCAGUCCGCAGUUUGCUUGCGUAGCUGGUUCUGCUGUUCUAGGCUGGACUCGACAAAUCUCAGCUGGGCUCACUCAGCCCUCCAAGGUUCCUGACAGGUGGAAAUGCCCUGCUCAGGAUCCUCAAGCAGCAGUGAGAUCCUGGCCAUCUGCAGAUUCCACAAUCAAUCACCCCCAUCAAUUGUGACAUUAUUAUGGCACUGCCCUCCAUGCAACUUAACUCGAGAGGAAACAAACAUUUGAUCCAUUAGUAUGCAUAGAAGCAAUAUGAUUUUCUGAAACAGUAAUUUGAAAUAGGAACAAUAAUGAGAACCUGUACAGACAGAUAUCCCCCUCGGGCACAUUACUGAUUGUCAAUAUGGUGAGUACAGAAAGAGAGGCACAUCACAUUUCUCUUCACAGUAAUAAUAGCUGCACCCGCAUGUAUCUUGGAACAUAAACGUUCACUCAUGAUGAUAAGUUGGAAGCCCACUAACAUGCUGGCAGCAGACAGACUUUUCAGAAACACAUAUCUGAUCCAAAAUCUACAGUGACGUUUUCCAAAAUUAAGUAUUUGUCAUGUAUUUUUUCUUUUACCGGGUACUCUAUAAACACUUGGGAUUGUAGGGGUGGAAAGCCGUGAUACCUUUCCUCACCCACCAUAACCGUCAUGGCCAACACUCCUGUAACAAAAGGAAAAAGAGAAAAGCAUAACAAAUGUAUUUAAAAUUUAAUCCCAUGUAUGAGGCCAUUCUCACACUGCUACAGAGAAAUACCCGCGACUGGGUAAUGUAUAAAGAAAAGAGGUUUAAUUGGCUCGUGGUUCCACAGGCUGUACAGGAAGCAUGGUGGCAUCUGCUUGGCUUCUGGGGAGGCCACAGGAAACUUAUAAUCAUGGCAGAAGGGGAAGGGGAAGCAGACACAUCUUACAUGGCUGAAGCAGGAGGCAGUGGGCAGGAUAGGUGCUAUACACUUUUAAACAAUGAGAUCUCACGAGAACUCACUCACUAUUAGUGAGUAGUACCAAAGGGGAUAUUCACCCCCAUGAUCCAAUCACCUCCCAGCGGGCCCCACCUCCAACGUUGGGGAUUACAGUUAGACAUGAGAUAUGGGCGGGGGACACAGAUCCAAACUGUACCAUCAAAGUUUUAUGUGACAUGAAAGCCUAAAUAAAGACUCGCCGGGCGCGGUGGCCCACGCCUGUAAUCCCAGCACUUUGGGAAGCCGAGAUAGGCGGAUCUCCAGGUCAGGAGAUCAAGACCAUCCUGGCUAACAUGGUGAAACCCCGCCUCUACUAAAAAUACAAAAAAAAAUUAGCCGGGCAUGGUGGCGGGCGCCUGUAGUCCCAGCUACUCCGGAGGCUAAGGCAGGAGAAUGGCGUGAACCCGGGAGGCAGAGGUUGCAGUGAGCCGAGAUCGCGCCACUGCACUCCAGCCUGGGCGACAGAGCGAGACUCUGUCU